Molecule: long non-coding RNA, 5156 nt
Filed under: Sus scrofa (pig)
Lineage: Eukaryota; Metazoa; Chordata; Mammalia; Artiodactyla; Suidae
Description: lncRNA (ENSSSCG00030017706.1)
Source: RNAcentral
UUUUUUUUUUUUUUGUCUUCUUUUGGGCCUCACUCUUGGCACAUGGAGGUUUCCAGGCUAGGGGAUGAAUUGAAACUACAGCUGCCAGCCUACACCACAGCCACAGCGAUGCUGCACCCAAGCUGUGUCUGCAACCUACAUCACAGCUCACAGUAACGCCAGAUCCUUAGCCCCCUGACUGAGGCCAGGGAUCGAAUCCAUGUCCUCAUGGAUACUAGUCAGGUUCAUUAACCACUGAGCCACAACAGGAACUCCUAAUAUUCUAAUUCUUGAUCUGGGUGCUAGUUACUAGGAUUGUUCACUUGGUAAAAAUUAAAUGAGCACCUAGGGUUUUCUGCAUACUUCUGAAUAUCUAAAAUAAAGUGUAUUAAGGAGUUCUCAUCGUGGCUCAGUGGUUUACAAAUCCGACUAGGAACCAUGAGGUUGCGGGUUUGAUCCCUGGCCUUGCUCAGCGGGUUAAAACGAUCCGACGUUGCCGUGACCUGGGUGUAGGUUGCAGAUGUGGCUCGGAUCCCGCGUUGCUGUGGCUCUGGGGUAGGCCGGCAGCUGCAGCUCCGAUUAGACCCCUAGCCUGGGAGCCUCCAUAUGCUGCGGGAGCAGCCCAAGAAAUGGCAAAAAGACAAAAAUAAAAAAUGAAUAAAAUAAAAUAAAGAGUAUUAAAAAUUUUAAAUGGUGGAGUUCCCUUCGUGGCGCAGUGGUUAACGAACCCAGCUAGGAACCAGGAGGAUGCAGGUUCAAUCCCUGGCCUUGCUUAGUGGGUUAAGAAUCUGGCGUUGCUGUGAGCUGUGGUGUAGGUCAUAAAUACAGCUUGGAUCUGAGUUGCUGUGGCUGUGGCAUGCUGUAGCUCUGAUUCAACUCUGAGCCUUGGGAACUUCCACAUGCCGCAGGUGUGGCCCUAAAAAAGCGGAAAAGAGAAAUUAAAAAUGGCAAGAGAGAAACUGGAGACAGGGGUUAUAGCAACUCCUUGCUGUAGAGGAGUUUUGCUGCAAAAGGGAAGAAGGAAAUGAGGAUUAGUUCACAGAGGAAGUAGGGUUAAAGAGGGUUUGGUUUUUUGGGUUUUUGUUUUGUUUUGUUUUUUAAGCUGAGAGAAACAAUAGCAUGUUUGUCUGUCAAUAGGAGAAAAUCGAAGAUUUUAGGAGAGAAAGGGGAGAAUAGUAGAUUGAUGUCCUUGACUAGGUGAGCGGGGGUGCAAUCUGGUAUAUAAGUAGAGGGAUUGGCUUUGGACGAGAGCACAGGGAGCUCAUCUGUGCUAACAGCACAUUUUGGAUAACUGAAGGCACCUGCAAUCUGGUGCCUAUCUUUAUGCACAGUAAAGAAUAAGUCUUGGUUACCAAGGGAUUCCUUUCUGAUUUUCCUUAAGCAGUUCCCCAUUAGCCAUUUGGUAAAUAAUAAUUUCACUAACAGUCAGUACUUACAGGUGCUUUCACACAGAUCUUACUCAACACUCAUCUUCUAAUGAACACGGCCUUUGUAAGUUGGUACAACCACUAUGGAAAACAGCAUGGAGAUUCCUCAAAAAACUGCAGAUAGAACUACCAGUAUGAUCCCAUUCCUGAGCAUCUAUCUGGAGAAAACUGUCUGUCUGGAUCUAAAUUUCCCUUUUUUUAUAAAGACACCAGUCAUGCAGGAGUAGAGAUCCACUCUAUUCCAUUAUGGCCUCCUCUUAACUAAUCACAUCUGUAAAGACCUUACUUCUAAAUAAGUUCGCAUUGUGAGAUACUGGGGGUUAGGGCUUCAACAUAUAAAUUUAGGGUUCGGGGGGACACAAUUCAAUCCAUGACAGUUUUCUAAUGUCACAUUUAGUGGUGGUCGAGUAGGCAACUUCAGGCCAGAUGGAACUGAGAAUCAAUGGGAUUGAAAAGGCCCUCCUUGUGUGCCUCUCUGAUGCCUAUCAAUCCCAUCAUUUGACCCUGUUGUCUUUGAUAAGACUCUGACAUGUUUUGACCGGUUUUAGAAGACAGAACCUUGAACAAUAAGAAGUAAUAACUGGGAAGGGAAAGGGUCGGGGGGAUUUCGAGGGGAGGUGUUUCUCCAAGGCAAGGUCAUUUGUAUUGAAUACACGUUUGUCUUUUAUAAAAUGAAAGCGGCUUUCCCAGGCUUUAGCCCUGAAAUUCUGAUUCUUCAGGCCUGGAGCCCGGGAAUUGGCAUUUUUGCCUGCAUUCAGGUUCUUCAGAUGCCACACUCUGACAGAGAUUUCCCCAGAAAGCCUGUGGUUCACGGUGUGGGGAAAUUGAAGCAACCAGACACUGUGCCUUGCUGUCUAGAGAGAGUGGACAAAGCCACGAAACCCCGAAGGUCAGAGCUCCAAGGGCCAGAAGAGACCAUCAAGAUCACCUCCUCAUUUUCCAGAUGAGUAAAUAGAGCUCAGAGAUGAUGAAGCCGGGACAUGUUAAGCACUUAAGAACAGAGAGAUGCAAAGACAGGACUUAAAUGUAAUAAGAAGAUUACAAUGGAUAAAAUGAAAAGAGAGAAGAGAAAUGGGAGGAGCUGUCCCUUAAGCUAGUGUCUAGACUAGUUAAUGUCUCCUUUCUCUGUUAGGUCACAGAAGUUGCCAUGCUUCAGAGUGGGCCAGCUUCACGCUUUGGAGGUAGGCCUGAAGCAUGUAUUUGUUCACAGGACAAAGAAUAGGUCUGUUUUGUGGGAGUUCUUUGUGGGAGUUCUCUACUUCUCAUGGCACUGCAUUAUCCUUAGCAAGCAGAGAUAAAAUAAGAACCCCCCAGCGUUCCCACUGUGGUGCAGUGGGUUUAGAAUCCAACUGCAGCAACUGGGGGUCUCAGUGGAGACAUGGGUUCGGUUCCCAGCCAGCAUAGUAGGUUAAGGAUCCCACUUUGCCACAGCUGCAGCAUAGGUCACAGCUGCAGCUUGGAUUCGAUCCCUGGCCCAGGAAUUUCCAUAUGCCAUAGGUGUGGCCAUAAAAUAUAUAUAUAUAUAUAUAUAUAUAUAUGUGAAUNCUACAAAAAAACCACUGAGUAUGGGAUUAAAUUAAUCAAUUACCUUUUUAAAAAAAUAUAUCUAUAUUUUUUAUUUUAUUUAUUUUUUAAUUUUUGUCUUUUGUCCUUUUAGGGCUGUACCCACGGCAUAUGGAGAUUCCCAGGCUAGGGUGUCUAAUCGGAGCUGUUGCUGCCAGCCUACGCCGGAGCCACAGCAAUGCCGGAUCCUUAACCUACUGAGCGAGGCCAGGGAUCGAACCCGAAACCUUAUGGUUCCUAGUCAGAUUUGUUUCCGCUGCACCACAAUUGGAACUCCAAUCAAUUAUCUUUAACUAUGGUUAGUCUUUGGUAGAUAGACUUCCUGACAAAACUACGAGUAUAACGAUCUAUAUCUUUCUAAUUUCUUUACUGGUGUUUCACCUUCUUGACCUCAUUUUAAUGUUUACAAUAACCCUGUAGUAGGUAUUCCCCUCAUUGGACAGAUAUGUUAAGGAUGAAAAUCUGAUCAUACCCUUCCCCUGCUUAUAAUCCUUCAGUGAUUCCUCACUGUCCACCCACUGGCUCAUAAAUCCUUCCUUGGGGAAAUGUGUGAUGAGUUAAUAAGCUAAAAGAAAGGAAGGGCAACUCAUACAAGGAUAUACAUACGCACUUUACUCAAAUAUUAAAAAACUGGAAGCAAACCAAAACCCAACAGUAAAGGGCAAGGUUAUGCAAAUCCUGCUCUAUCAAUACACUGGAAUACUCUGUACCUACUUUAGAUAAGAAUCUGGUCUGGAGUUCCCGUCGUGGCGCAGUGGUUAACGAAUCCGACUAGGAACCAUGAGGUUGCGGGUUCGGUCCCUUCCCUUGCUCAGUGGGUUAACGAUCUGGCGUUGUCGUGAGCUGUGGUGUAGGUUGCAGACGCGGCUCGGAUCCCGCGUUGCUGUGGCUCUGGCGUAGGCCAGUGGCUACAGCUCCGAUUCAACCCCUAGCCUGGGAACCUCCAUAUGCCGCGGGAGCGGCCCAAGAAAUAGCAACAACAACAACAACAACAAAAGACAAACAAACAAACAAACAAACAAACAAAAAAGAAUCUGGUCUGUGCUGAGACAUGAGUGUGUGUCUCAAGUUGGGAAAUGCGAAAUAAACUCAAUAAAUAGAAUUAUGAAUACUCCUCUUUCAACUCUGUAAAAAUAUACAUGUACAUACUGACGAAGAGCAGAGAGUAAGAAGAAGUAGUAAAAUGUUAUUGUUUGUGAAUCACAUGUUCUGUUUUAAGGGUGACAUAAAAAUUUAAACAGAGGCAAUAAUGUUCUUGGAUUUUUCUCCUGGGGGCACUCACACAGGAUUUUAUACUGUGAAGAGAAAACUAGACAUGGAACUUCAAACCUUAAGGCCUCAGUACUGCAGCGUAGGCUAAGAACAUGGUGACAGUUUUAUGUUGGGAUGUCAGUGUGUGAGUCAAUUCAAGUCAGAAUGGGGAUGGAGCAGGCAUCCCCCAGCCUACGGCUGUACUAAGUACGCUCAUAGACGCACAUGCGUGCUUGGCCCGUGGUCACAUCAGUGAUUGCUGCCGCAGCAGUUCAAAGCCACUCAGAAGUCACAGAGCAGGAAAAGAACUGCCCUAUUAACUGCGAGAAAAACUGGUCAGACCUGAUCAAGCAGAACAUCAGUGUGUGAUGUCAAACUGACCUUACGUACAAAGAGGCUCCAGGAACAAUUCAGCGAGUUCUCUUUAUUUGUUAUGGUCGGAGGCAUGAAAGCAUGGCACUGAAAGCCCACUAUUAGUACACUCAAAUGGCUGAAGUACCUGAACUUUUUCUUUUCUUUUCUUUUCUUGUCUUUUUGCCAUUUCUUGGGCCGCUCCUGCGGCAUAUGGAGGUUCCCAGGCUAAGGUUCUAAUCGGAGCUGUAGCCGCCGGCCUGCACCAGAGCCACAGAAACGCCAGAUCCGAGCUGUGUCACGGCUCACGGCAAUGCCAGAUCCCCAACCCACUGAGCAAGGCCAAGGAUCAAACCCACAACCUCAUGGUUCCUAGUUGGAUUCGUUAACCACUGAGCCACGACUGGAACUCCAUUGAAAUUUUCCCAGUAUCUAUUUAAAUGCGUUCCUAGAUCUUUUCCUAAUUCUCUUUCAAGGUUCUCCUCUGACUCUAAAUCUUACAGCAUUUGCCUUUUGUACAUUUCAUUAAACAAUAUUAUCAUUGAGUCCACUUUAGGUUUAUCGUUUCACCGUGUACAGAUGAGG